GAUGAACGCUGGCGGCGUGCCUAAUACAUGCAAGUCGAGCGAACAGACGAGGAGCUUGCUCCUCUGACGUUAGCGGCGGACGGGUGAGUAACACGUGGAUAACCUACCUAUAAGACUGGGAUAACUUCGGGAAACCGGAGCUAAUACCGGAUAAUAUAUUGAACCGCAUGGUUCAAUAGUGAAAGACGGUUUUGCUGUCACUUAUAGAUGGAUCCGCGCCGCAUUAGCUAGUUGGUAAGGUAACGGCUUACCAAGGCAACGAUGCGUAGCCGACCUGAGAGGGUGAUCGGCGACACUGGAGCGGGAACACGGUCCAUGCUACUGCGGGAGGCAGCAGAAGGGAAUCUGCCGCAAUGGUCGAAAGCUUGACGGAGCAACGCCACGUGAGUUAUGAAGGUCUUCGGAUCGUAAAACUCUGUUAUUAGGGAAGAACAAAUUUGGAAGUAACUAUGCACUGCUUGACGGUACCUAAUCAGAAAGCCACGGCUAACUACGUG
RNAcentral lists this ribosomal RNA (497 nucleotides) under uncultured bacterium. Its description in RNAcentral is "partial 16S ribosomal RNA". It matches the Rfam family "Bacterial small subunit ribosomal RNA", at positions 28 to 507 of the family's 1533-position model. The record is from RNAcentral.